RNAcentral lists this ribosomal RNA (253 nucleotides) under uncultured bacterium. RNAcentral's name for it is "partial 16S ribosomal RNA". It matches the Rfam family "Bacterial small subunit ribosomal RNA", at positions 524 to 776 of the family's 1533-position model. The record is from RNAcentral.
UACGGAGAGUGCGAACGUUGUUCGGAUUCACUGGGCGUAAAGGGCACGUAGGCGGCUUGGCAAAUCGGUCGUGGAAUCCCGACGCUUACCGUCGGAACGGCGGCCGAAAAUACCGAGCUCGAGGGCGUGAGGGGUCACUGGAACUCCUGGCGAAGCGGUGAAAUGCGUAGAUAUCAGGAGGAACGCCGGAGGCGAAAGCGAGUGACUGGCGCGUUCCUGACGCUGAGGUGCGAAAGCUAGGGGAGCAAACAGG